Molecule: ribosomal RNA, 353 nt
Filed under: uncultured soil bacterium
Lineage: Bacteria
Description: bacterial SSU rRNA
Rfam family: Bacterial small subunit ribosomal RNA
Source: RNAcentral
AGAAUGAACGCUGGCGGCGUGCUUAACACAUGCAAGUCGCACGAGGCGGGGGGGGCAACCCCUCCAGUCGAGUGGCGGACGGGUGAGUAACACGUGGGUAACCUGCCCGGAUGUGGGGAAUACCUCGGGGAAACUCGAGCUAAUACCGCAUGACAUCUUCGGGACGAAAGUCCUGACGAUACAAAGGCGGGUCGACAAGACUCUCGCGUCCGUUCCGGAGUCGGGCCCGCCGCCGUAUUACGCUUAGGUUGGACGAGGUAACGGCUCAACCGAGGCGACGAGUCGGUAGCCGGCUGAGAGGGUGAGUCCGGCCACGACCGGACUGAGACGACGGUCCGACUCCGUACGGGAGC